This 254-nucleotide ribosomal RNA is filed under the name uncultured bacterium. RNAcentral describes it as "partial 16S ribosomal RNA". It matches the Rfam family "Bacterial small subunit ribosomal RNA", at positions 524 to 776 of the family's 1533-position model. The record is from RNAcentral.
UACGUAGGUGGCGAGCGUUGUCCGGAUUUACUGGGCGUAAAGAGCGCGCAGGCGGUCGUUCAAGUCGCGUGUGAAAGCCCCCCGGCUCAACUGGGAGGGUCAGCGCGAUACUGAUCGACUCGAAGGCAGGAGAGGGUAGUGGAAUUCCCGGUGUAGUGGUGAAAUGCGUAGAUAUCGGGAGGAACACCAGUGGCGAAGGCGACUACCUGGCCUGAUACUGACACUGAGGCACGAAAGCGUGGGGAGCAAACAGG